UGUGUGUGUGUGUGUGUGUGUGUGUGUGUGUGUGUGGAAUGGCUUGAAAAUGACUCCGUCCAUGUCCCAUCCUUCAGAAGAAGCACAGCGCCAUGCAUACAACACAGACAGCCGAGGCUAAGACAACACGUCACAGACGGGGAUGCAGAAUGAAAGAAAAGGCUCGGGGAGGGAUGUCACUUGCAGAGAGAGCCUCAGCAUACAUGCCCGUGAGUGCA
Peromyscus leucopus (white-footed mouse) is the source of this 218-nucleotide long non-coding RNA. RefSeq lists it as uncharacterized. The transcript is spliced from 3 exons. NCBI's taxonomy places the organism in Eukaryota, Metazoa, Chordata, Mammalia, Rodentia, Cricetidae. The record is from RefSeq and is a predicted model, not a curated record.